Molecule: ribosomal RNA, 301 nt
Filed under: uncultured bacterium
Lineage: Bacteria
Description: partial 16S ribosomal RNA
Rfam family: Bacterial small subunit ribosomal RNA
Source: RNAcentral
CAGCAGCCGCGGGAAUACGAAGGGUGCAAGCGUUAAUCGGAAUUACUGGGCGUAAAGCGCGCGUAGGUGGUUUGUUAAGUUGGAGGUGAAAUCCCCGGGCUCAACCUGGGAACUGCCUCCAAAACUGGCUGACUAGAGUACGGUAGAGGGUGGUGGAAUUUCCUGUGUAGCGGUGAAAUGCGUAGAUAUAGGAAGGAACACCAGUGGCGAAGGCGACCACCUGGACUGAUACUGACACUGAGGUGCGAAAGCGUGGGGAGCAAACAGGAUUAGAUACCCCGGUAGUCCCUGUCUCUUAUAC